Molecule: long non-coding RNA, 727 nt
Filed under: Gallus gallus (chicken)
Lineage: Eukaryota; Metazoa; Chordata; Aves; Galliformes; Phasianidae
Description: long non-coding RNA NONGGAT002523
Source: RNAcentral
CACCUUUUCACGCUCAGGCCGGGAUCCCGUCACCUUUUCCGAGCAGAGUGCCGUUUCCCUCUCAGCUGCUGUGACGCUCGGUAAAACUCAGACGCCUCAACCUUUUAACGCUACGGCCGCGGCUCCACCUCGCUCCUGCACGGCGCGGUCUGCAGUCGCGCGCCGGGCCUUCCCUCUCACCUCAGGCCUCCGAGGGAGCGCAGCUCCCCACGGCCGCACCUCACGGCGCAGCGCCGCGGCCACCCGCGGGAAGGAGGGCGGUCCCCGAGCGCGGGUACCGCCUUGGGGCGGAGCCAACGGCCACCGCGGAGAGCGGCGGCGCCCCUCGGGCCGCGGGGAGGAGUUCCGAGACGCGCGGAGCGGCGCGCAGAGCUGCGGCCGGACUCCGUGAGAGGGCGCGCGGUGCCCGGAAGCAGCGGCCCCAACCACCGCCCCUUCCCGCCCCCACACGUGUGAGGCGGCCGCACGGCGUCAGCGCGCGCGUCUCCCCGCCCCCACCGAGGGCCAACCGCCGGGGCGCGCGCCCGGGGGCGGUCUCGGCCGCGGAGCUCGCGAGAGGACAUCAUGUCCGCGGCGGCGUCGGGCGAGGAAAUGUGCUGAAAGCAGACACUACAAGAGGAUACUACAAGUGGAGGAUCCAAACUAAUCACUUGUGAAAGUCAAUUGCUCCUUUGAUGGAAGAGAACCCGAGGUGCGACUUGGCUGGCUGGCUUCUAGAGGGUUUUGA